This 527-nucleotide long non-coding RNA is filed under the name Aedes aegypti (yellow fever mosquito). RNAcentral's name for it is "lncRNA AAEL021324". Lineage: Eukaryota; Metazoa; Arthropoda; Insecta; Diptera; Culicidae. The record is from RNAcentral.
AGAAAAAAAAAACAAAACAAAUUGAGUUUGCACUUUUCUGCUGCUUUUUGCGUCUUUUUGUUGUUGCGUUGAAAAAAAUAAAUAUCUGAUCUGGAACCGGAAACAAAAUCACUGGAUUUGGAUGCAGUCAAACGAGCAAGAGGAUUUCUGCGAGAUCAGCCAAAAAUGCUGUCGUCACUUCCACGGGCAAGACUAGCAACGAAAACGUUUAACACACCGGACACAACCUGAACUCAAUGAGAAGGCAAGCGAAAUCCGUCCUCAUUGCUUUGGUGACUGCUGCCUGAUAAUUACAAGAAUCAGGUAAUUCGUUUGAUGACCUGCAGAAAAUGUCCGGAACUCGUCCCAUUCGGCUAUCACCUACAUGACGGAUGCCUGUAUCACUACGAAGAUGUUGCGAAGCUGCCGGAUUGGAAUAAUGGGCUCAUUUUGCGGAAAAUUUGGAAAUAAUAUGAUGAAUACGGCUGAAGUGAAUGUAUGUAAAGUGUAAGAGAGUAAAAUGCUCAAUAAUAACAUUUAAAAUUAAA